CUUUAGGAAAGGGAAUGCAUAAAGCAUUAAGUCAAUAAUCACGAUAUUCCUGAGAAAAACAAUGGCAUCCUCUAUGGAGAUAGAAGAAAGAGGAGAAAAUGAUUACUUUUAUUAAUUUUUAAAUAUUUAUUAACAUACAGUAGCCUUCGUGAUAAAGAGAAAGAAAGGGAGGGAGGGGAAGAGAGAGAGAGAGGAGAGAGAGAGAGAGAGAGAGAGAGAGAGAGAGAGAGAGAGAGAGAGGAAAGUUCCCUUAACCUGGUAAGAGGCUUUUCUGAAGCCCACAGCUGACAGCACAGUGAAUGAGAGAGAGAGAGAGAGAGAGAGAGAGAGAGAGAGAGAGAGAGAGAGAGAGAGAGAGAGAGAGAGACCUUCACCCUGUAAUCCUCUGGUGCCGUUCAAUACUGAACUAGAGUUGUAAUCAAAAAAAUUAGGGGUCUGCGCUUGCGCGGGCGCGGGCGCGGGCGCGGGCUCGCUCGCCGGCCGUCCUGUGGGCCGGCGCCGGGGGCCAUGGGAAAUGCACUUAUCAAAAUUGACUUCAGAAGAGAGAAGGCUAACGAUGGAAAACACUGGGAAAGUGACCAGAAAGCUGUCCUCGGUGCCAGGCCCAGUUGAUGUCACAGGCUUCCCCAGAGAGGAGCGGCUGGAAGCACCAUGAUGGGCUCGGAAGCUCAUGACAAGAGGCCUCCGAUGUUGACCUCAUCAAACCAGGACUUGUCACCUCACCUCGCUGACAUGGGUCAAAUAAAGCAUUACUUC
This 756-nucleotide long non-coding RNA is filed under the name Rattus norvegicus (Norway rat). Its description in RNAcentral is "long non-coding RNA NONRATT009906". Lineage: Eukaryota; Metazoa; Chordata; Mammalia; Rodentia; Muridae. The record is from RNAcentral.